This is a long non-coding RNA of Gorilla gorilla gorilla (western lowland gorilla), 1342 nucleotides long. RefSeq lists it as uncharacterized. NCBI's taxonomy places the organism in Eukaryota, Metazoa, Chordata, Mammalia, Primates, Hominidae. The record is from RefSeq and is a predicted model, not a curated record. The transcript is spliced from 3 exons.
UUCUGCGGGCCCAGCAGCUCCGGGAACGGUCAGCGUGGGGGGCCGGCCUGGCGGGACAUUUGGGGUCCCCCAUACGUGGACCUAUGCCUGUUGUAAGAUGUUUGGAAGAGCGUCGAAAGAUGAGAUCAUGUUGUGUGCUUGGAAGCUGAAUGAAGAACCGGCUUGCAAAGGAGAAGAUAAGCGCGUGCAGUCCCGGCGCGGCCCGCUCUGCUCAGUUCUCCAGGGCGGGCCUUGGCCUGGACUGCGUGUCGGGAGGACUCGCGGGCCCCGCAUUGCCGCAUGCCACCGGCAGGUGUCUCUUUCCUGGCUUGGGAACCUAUUGUGGUAUCACAGCUCCUGGCCUGCUUGAGAUCUGUGGGAGUGAGUCAGUGCUGGAGAUCUGAGCUGGAAGCUGCCUGGAGUCCUUCUGCACUGAUAUUUUGUCCCUUUUCCUAACUGUCCGGUCAUUCAUGAGGAUGAGUGUCCCCAGAUGUGCCUGUCUCAGGGCACCCUCUCCUGGGCACACCUGAUUGGAUCAAGCUGUGCACCUGACCCAGGCUGGGACAACCAAAUUCCCUCUCCCAGGAAUCUGGUAUUGGACUGAGGACAGCCACUCACCUUUGGCUAAUCUCUUUAGGAGAGAAGAUGUAGAUGUGAUAGUUGUUGAGGGAUUAUCCUCUGCCCAGCUACUCACAGAGAAGAAAGUGGAUUGCAGAGAGAGACGUGAAGCAGAGAAGAAAGCUGGAGAAGGUGGACUGUCUAGGUUCCUAGCAGCUUCUCGGGCUACCUUGAGGCCAUCUGCCCUUGGACUUCAUGAGAUACUGCUAUACUCUUCUAUGUCCCUUAAUGCUUAAGUCAGCUCAAGUUGAUUACUUCCAACCAAAAGGACUUAACUCAGACAAGGACAAAGCCAAGACCAUCAGUGAGAUUUUUUUUCUUUAUAACCAGGUCCCUUACAGCAUCCUGGGGAGCACUGUAGGUCCUAAAUACACAUUAUUCACAUUAUUCACUCUCCAAAGGCUUCCAUUAGGCAAAAACAUCUUCUCAUCCAAGGCCAACUAGAUUAGCAAAUGGCAUUUCUUCUGGCUUUCUGUCCCCAGAGGGCAAAUGCACAGAUGACUGCAGUUAGCGAUAGACUCCGUGAGUUAGUAUUUGCUGAGGGCACACACCCUGAGACUUGAACGACAGAAAUCCCCAGGUGCCAAGGAGGAGACUGGCAAUUAUGCCUCCAAUCACCUCCCUGUUCUGCCGCCCUCUAAAUCAGCACUCCCCACCGCGGUGACCCUCAAUGACUGGCAAGACGACCCAUUUUUAAAGGGCCAAUUUUUAACAGCUGGAAACAAUAAACAUCGUGGGAGGUGAA